GACUGGCUGGCUCAGUUGGCUAGAGCAUGGGGCUGAUAACACCAAGGUUGCAGGUUCAAUCCCCGUAUGGGAGAGUUGCA
Molecule: transfer RNA, 80 nt
Filed under: Podarcis lilfordi (Lilford's wall lizard)
Lineage: Eukaryota; Metazoa; Chordata; Lepidosauria; Squamata; Lacertidae
Description: tRNA.Ile
Rfam family: tRNA (bases 8-66)
About the family: Transfer RNA (tRNA) molecules are approximately 80 nucleotides in length.
Source: RNAcentral